Molecule: ribosomal RNA, 532 nt
Filed under: Geotrichum candidum
Lineage: Eukaryota; Fungi; Ascomycota; Dipodascomycetes; Dipodascales; Dipodascaceae
Description: SSU rRNA
Rfam family: Eukaryotic small subunit ribosomal RNA
Source: RNAcentral
UCAAUAAAUAAUGAUCGGGGCCCUAUUAGCUUUUGUAAUUGGAAUAAGAACAAUUUAAAUACCUUAACGAGGAACAAUUAGAGGGCAAGUCUGGUGCCAGCAGCCGCGGUAAUUCCAGUUCUGAUAGUAUAUAUUAAAGUUGUUGCAGUUAAAAAGCUCGUAGUUGAAACUUGGGUGCGUAGGGGCGGUCUCUUUUAGAGUACUACCCUGAAACAUCUUUCUUUGGUGUAAACUUUCUAUUUAUUUAGGAAGUGUAAACCAAACAUUUACUUUGAAAAAAUUAGAGUGUUCAAAGCAGGCCUUUGCUCGAAUAUAUUAGCAUGGAAUAAUAGAAUAGGACGUAUGGUUCUAUUUUGUUGGUUUCUAGGACCGUCGUAAUGAUUAAUAGGGACGGUCGGGGGCAUCAGUAUUCAGUUGUCAGAGGUGAAAUUCUUGGAUUUACUGAAGACUAACUACUGCGAAAGCAUUUGCCAAGGACGUUUUCAUUAAUCAAGAACGAAAGUUAGGGGAUCGAAGACGAUCAGAUACGUCG